Molecule: ribosomal RNA, 482 nt
Filed under: uncultured bacterium
Lineage: Bacteria
Description: partial 16S ribosomal RNA
Rfam family: Bacterial small subunit ribosomal RNA
Source: RNAcentral
GACGAACGCUGGAGGCGUGCUUAACACAUGCAAGUCGAACGAUGAAAUGGAGCUUGCUCCAUGGAUUAGUGGCGAACGGGUGAGUAACACGUGAAUAACCUGCCCUUAAUUUUGGAAUAACCCAGGGAAACCUGGGCUAAUACCGGAUAAGUAAACCUGUGGCAUCACAUGGUUUUGGAAAGUUUUUCGAUUAAGGAUGGAUUCGCGGCCUAUCAGCUUGUUGGUGAGGUAAUGGCUCACCAGGGCGACGACGGGUAGCCGGCUUGAGAGCGUGAACGGCCACACUGGGACGGAGACACGGCCCAGACUCUUACGGGAGGCAGCAGUUGGGAAUAUUGCGCAAUGGACGAAAGUCUGACGCAGCGACGCCUCGUGAGGGACGAAGGUCUUCGGAUUGUAAACCUCUUUCAGCAGGGACGAAGCGAAAGUGACGGUACCUGCAGAAGAAGCACCGGCUAACUAUGUGCCAGCAGCCGCCGUAA